Long non-coding RNA from Salvia splendens (bonfire salvia), 1024 nucleotides. RefSeq lists it as uncharacterized. The record is from RefSeq and is a predicted model, not a curated record. The transcript has 3 exons. NCBI's taxonomy places the organism in Eukaryota, Viridiplantae, Streptophyta, Magnoliopsida, Lamiales, Lamiaceae.
CAAGGCUAGAAAAAAAAAUAAAUAAAAGGCAGCCUUCUUGAGUAAAAAAAAGCCAAGGCUAGAAAAAAAAUAUCGAGCGAAAAAUAGAAAUGAUAAAAGAAAGCUCAAAAGAAUAAGUUGACUUGGUUAGAUGGUCACUUGGUUAGAUGGUCGAAAAAUCUCAUGUUUGGGUGUUGAGCUGUGAGAAAUUUGUACGCAUUGACUGAGAUGUGAAAGAUGUUGUGAUGGAUGUGCUAGUAUUUUAAGAAUGGUGGUAAGCUACUUAACCAUAUAUUAUCCCACCUUUACCAAAAGCCCCGUUACAUCCCAAUGAAUAAGACCUUUUCAUUUAUGCAUCAUAUUGACUUGUGAGCGAUGAAUUUUGCUUGAAUUUGGGAGAAAGAUCUUAUGUGCUUAAAAUAAAGAAUAGCCGGAAGAACUUCCCUUUAGGAAUUAGUAACGAUGGUUUGAGACUCCCAAGACACAACUCGAACUUAUAUUGAAGCAUGGGAUGCCUAGGUCUUAAGGAAUUAGUUCGUGUACAAUUCUUGUUCGAAAGUUUUACCCGCGAGUGAAUUCACGGUCGACCUAAUUUCCCUACUGAUUCGUUAUCUUGACUUGAAGGAGAGGAUUAUCUAAUAUCUUCUGACUGUGCUUUAUUGUCUAACUUGCUCGAGGGCUAGCAAGACUUAAGUUAUGGGGGUGUUUGAUGUGAGUGGGUAAUUGUCUAACUUGUUCCUCGGAGUAUACAAUGGAAUGGAGGGUAUCGUAUUACUGCUCCAAGUCAGUUUUGACCACUUCGAUAUUAAGUUGGUCUUGCUGUCUCCAAAAUCUGAAGAUCACGAUACCAGGAUGUGUGGAAAGAAUUUCUAUUUGAGUCAGAUUAAAGAGCUGUGUGCCAAUCCUAUUUGAGGCGACUGAGAUAAUUUCUAGAGCACUCAUUUCAGCUGGAAUCACAAACAGAGUUGACACCGAUGAAUGGAAUCCAUCCACUGAUACACAUCUUCCUCGAUUGAUAACCUCUCUGGAAAUGUUGUGAUACACC